Molecule: ribosomal RNA, 374 nt
Filed under: uncultured eukaryote
Lineage: Eukaryota
Description: partial 18S ribosomal RNA
Rfam family: Eukaryotic small subunit ribosomal RNA
Source: RNAcentral
CAAUAGCGUAUAUUUAAGUUGUUGCAGUUAAAAAGCUCGUAGUUGGAUUUCGGUUAAGAGCGACCGGUCCGCCGUUUGGUGUGCACUGGUUGGUUUUAACUUCCUGUAGAGGACGUGCUCUGGGUUUAACGACCUGGACUCGGAGUCUACGUGGUUACUUUGAAAAAAUUAGAGUGUUCAAAGCGGGCUUACGCUUGAAUAUUUCAGCAUGGAAUAACACUAUAGGACUCCUGUCCUAUUUCGUUGGUCUCGGGACGGGAGUAAUGAUUAAGAGGAACAGUUGGGGGCAUUCGUAUUUCAUUGUCAGGGGUGAAAUUCUUGGAUUUAUGAAAGACGAACUUCUGCGAAAGCAUUUGCCAAGGAUGUUUUCAUUA